AGAUCGCUACAGAUGUAGCUGCUAGGGGGCUGGAUAUUCCAGAUGUUGAAGUUGUAAUUAACUACAGCUUCCCGUUGACCACAGAGGAUUAUGUCCACAGAAUUGGAAGAACGGGUCGGGCUGGUAAAAAAGGCGUUGCACACACUUUCUUCAUGAAGGAGAAUAAGGCACUUUCUGGUGAGCUGAUAAAUGUUCUUCGAGAAGCAGGACAGAAUGUACCGACAAACCUUUUGAAUUUCGGAACUCAUGUUAAGAAAAAGGAGUCGAAGCUCUACGGAGCCCAUUUCAAAGAAAUUUCUGCAGAUGCACCUAAGGCCACCAAGAUUACAUUCGACUCUGACAAUGAAGAUUAACUGCAAAAUUUUGACCAAAAAUCAUAUGUUUUUAUUGUAAUCUUUGGAUAAUUUUGAUUAAACUCAUAUUACUAUUGCAAUUGUCUGUUUACUUGAUAGUAUUUUAUAUAAUUAUCUAGUCUUCUUAA
Molecule: long non-coding RNA, 481 nt
Organism: Helianthus annuus (common sunflower)
Lineage: Eukaryota; Viridiplantae; Streptophyta; Magnoliopsida; Asterales; Asteraceae
Exons: 2
Source: RefSeq, a predicted model, not a curated record